UAAGUGAUGAAAUGAAACAUAGCCUUGCAUCUAUUGGUUUGGUUUAAAUAUGUUUUUACGGUUUUACAGAUUGCAAGACCACAAAAUACAGUCUCAGAAGAAAAUUAAACAGUCACUUUAACUUGCAAAGAUGAGCACAUGUUUUGAUCUUGAUCUUGGUUUUGUUUUUCCUCAGGCAACUGGAACUUCAGCCAUUUCCUGCUCCACAGCUGCCACUUCGACGGGAUAGUAGUGGUAGUGGAGUUCUCCAACAUCGUCACCUGAUA
RNAcentral lists this unclassified non-coding RNA (266 nucleotides) under Hevea brasiliensis (rubber tree). The record is from RNAcentral. Lineage: Eukaryota; Viridiplantae; Streptophyta; Magnoliopsida; Malpighiales; Euphorbiaceae.